RNAcentral lists this long non-coding RNA (2806 nucleotides) under Homo sapiens (human). RNAcentral describes it as "HSALNT0362408". The record is from RNAcentral. Lineage: Eukaryota; Metazoa; Chordata; Mammalia; Primates; Hominidae.
UCACUCUAUUGCCUGGGCCGGAGUGCAGUGGCCUGAUCUCUGCUCUCUGCAACCUCCGCCUCCUGGGUUCAAGUAAUUCUCCUGCCUCAGCCUCCUGAGUAGCUGGGACUACAGGUGUGUGCCACCAUGCCUGGCAAAUUUUUGUAUUUUUAGUAGAGAUGGGGGUUUCACUAUGUUGGCCAGGCUGGUCUCAAACUCCUGACCUCAUGGGAUCUUCUCGCCUCAGCCUCCCAAAAUGCUGGGAUUACAGGCAGAAGCCACCACUCCUGGCUGUUUUUAAUAUGUGGUUCUUUUCAUAAAAGAUGGUAAAAGCCAUCUUUUCUAUAAUUUCAGAUUGGGAAGGAUGAGCAAGUCCAACUUGACAAAUUCAGAUUUCAUGUAUCAUCCUGAACUGGACAAUGACCUUGCCUUGGGACUGGGUGGGAACAGUCCUUCUCCAUCACAGUCCCAAUGUUCUGCUGCAAUAAAAGGCUAGCUAGUUGCAUCCCUAGACUGUAUUGGAGCACAUUCUCCAUCCUCCUUGGUUACCUCCCCUGGUUAUUUGUGCAGCUUCUUAUCUCCUUCACUAAAUUUCAUAUUUCCUAAAUGAUAGACCAUGACUCACUCAAUCAUCUCUGUAUCUCUGACACUGCCUAACCUUGAUGUUUUCCCUUUGAUAGCUGCUUAGUAAAUGUUGGUUAAAUAUAUGAAAGCCAAGAAUGCUAUGGAUAGGAAAAUCAACCCUGCAAUUUUCUCUGACAUCACUUCCCUCCUUCUAUAAACAGAACUGACUUCCAAAAACCUAAAUCUUCUGCCCAGUUUUUUGAGAUUCUUGAUAUUUGACUCUUCUUUUUCUGCUAGACCCAAAGAAUUACCAAAUAACAUUGACCCUAUCUUUCUUCUUCCUUUCCUUUCUCUUUCUCUUUCUUUCUCUUUCUCUCUUUCUUUCUUUCUCUCUCUCUUUUCUUUCUCUUUCUUUUUCUCUCUUUUUUUCUUCUCACAUUUUUUAUAUGACUGCCAUAACACAGACCUGUAUGGAGUUAGAGUCAGAAACUUACUUAAAUCCUAUAUUUUGUUCUUGCAUUUAUAAAACAGAAUCAUUGUGAGAAAAUGCUUUAUUCUCUGCACCCCACCCCAACUACAAAAAUAAAGGGGUGUGAUCAUUAAAACAAGGGAUAACUGUGAUUUUUUCAUGGGAUUUUAUGAUUGGCUUCUGGACUAUAGUAAUCUUAAAGAUAGUGUUUUGUCAACCUCUAUUCAAAAACUCCUGUUAGCUGAAGUUUUCAAAGCUGUGGCCCAGCUGCCUUGUGGGUCUGAGGACAUUUCCUCUUACUAUGAUUUAUAUUUUUUGAUUGUGGGUAUACCUUAUAUUGCUUUUUAUCUGCAGAGAUCCUUUAAAAGCUCAGAUUGUAGGUUCUUCUCUGUUUCCAACAGAGAUAAUAACAACCAGGACCACUUUUUAUAAUAAUUUCCUGGCUUGGGAGUUUCCCUAGAGCAAGCCCUGCGUUCACAGGGGAAGUUCUUUCUCUCUCUCUCUCUUGCUGGCUCACUUGAUCACUUGCUUGCUCUUGCUGGUUAGAUUUAUUCCCAUUCAUCCCUUCAAGGAUGUGUAUGGCCCAGACCCACAUUCUAAAUGUAUAGUCCAAGGCCUAAUCUGCAGACCUCACACAUUCUGGCUUUCUCUCUCUCCCAUAGGGUGGUACAAAGGACAGUUUAUAUUUUCCCUCUCAUAUUUUAUUGACUGUUUUUGCUUUUGUGAAUGUUUUUACAUGCUUAUGAGUUAAGGCAUACAUUUAAACUGACAGUUACAUUUUACACAUUUGUUGCUUUUAUUUUAGUUUAGUUUUCAGCAUACAGAUUUCUAGGUUGUAAAUCGAAUCUUUCAAUAGCUUCUUAAGUUAUGUGCUGACUCAGAGGAAAUCAGGCAUAUUAUAGUUCCUUAUGAUAGGAUAUCUGGCAUAUACCAUGGUCAACAUAUUAUCUGAAAGUAUCAUCUUAAUCUCCUUUAAGACCUCCAGGAUAAAAUAAAAACUUGCAGGCCAGUCAUGCAUUACUCUCUAUAAAUCUUGUCCCAUUAUUUUUUUUUUCCAGAAAAACUGAAAGUCCACAUUUUGAGGUAAAAUCUAAUGAUUCACAAUGUUGAUAACUAAUUUUAAAAUUUUACAGGAAAAAUACUCUGAAGGCUAGCACUGUAAAGGCCAAAGUAGACAAUUUGCAGGCUCUGGUUUAUAGUGCCUUCUGUUUCAUGGAACUCUUCUUUAUGCCUUUGUUAUAUGCCAAACUAUACACUCACCAAAUCUGCACACUUUCUGAAAGCCACUGUAUUAUAAUUCUUGUGUUUGCCUCCUCACAAAACAGAGCCAUGCACACAGACCCUCAGAUGCCAUUCACUGAAUUGAAAUACGUUCUCACUGGUUUCUAAUAUUCACCGAGCCUGAAUAAAGGGGGUCGUAGAGCAUUUCCUGAAAAGGCAGCUGGAUGGCAAACAAGGAUAAAAUUGAGUCUUUCAUUUGUCUGAAGAAGAAAAAUAAUAUAGAGUUUCUUACGGGAGUCCAUGUUCAUAUUAGGCCAAAGUGAUUGCAAGUAUAAGCAAGGGAGAAAAGUCGAAGAAUGAGUUAGAGAUUUUAAGCCAGCUUAUGGUCUUGGAUUUUAUGACAAAGAUAUGACUCUCUCUUAAGUAAUCUUAAAAGGAAACUUGUCAACAGUGAUCAUUUGAGGACUACCAUUUUUUUUGUAUUAAAAUACAUGGGUGUAUUACUAUAGAUGUGAGAAGAUAAAUUCCUGGAAACUUUUAUUUAUUUGAGAGUCCUGUCUUCCAUAACAAUUU